RNAcentral lists this ribosomal RNA (301 nucleotides) under uncultured bacterium. Its description in RNAcentral is "partial 16S ribosomal RNA". It matches the Rfam family "Bacterial small subunit ribosomal RNA", at positions 509 to 807 of the family's 1533-position model. The record is from RNAcentral.
CAGCCGCCGCGGGAAUACGUAGGGUGCAAGCGUUAAUCGGAAUUACUGGGCGUAAAGCGUGCGCAGGCGGUUAUAUAAGACAGAUGUGAAAUCCCCGGGCUCAACCUGGGAACUGCAUUUGUGACUGUAUAGCUGGAGUACGGCAGAGGGGGAUGGAAUUCCGCGUGUAGCAGUGAAAUGCGUAGAUAUGCGGAGGAACACCGAUGGCGAAGGCAAUCCCCUGGGCCUGUACUGACGCUCAUGCACGAAAGCGUGGGGAGCAAACAGGAUUAGAUACCCCCGUAGUCCCUGUCUCUUAUAC